GUCCACGCCAUAAACGUUGGAUGCUGGGUUUGCGGGGUAUCGACCCCCUGCGAGCCGAAGUUAACGCGUUAAGCAUCCCGCCUGGGGACUACGGCCGCAAGGUUAAACUCAAAGGAAUUGACGGGGGCCCGCACAAGCAGCGGAGCGUGUGGUUUAAUUCGAUGCAAAACGAAGAACCUUACCUAGGCUUGACAUGCAAGUAGUACCAAACCGAAAGGCCAGGGACCCGCAAGGGAGCUUGCACAGGUGUUGCAUGGUUGUCGU
Molecule: ribosomal RNA, 264 nt
Filed under: uncultured bacterium
Lineage: Bacteria
Description: partial 16S ribosomal RNA
Rfam family: Bacterial small subunit ribosomal RNA
Source: RNAcentral